CCUACGGGAGGCAGCAGUGAGGAAUAUUGGUCAAUGGGCGCGAGCCUGAACCAGCCAAGUCGCGUGAGGGAGGACGGCCCUACGGGUUGUAAACCUCUUUUGCCGGGGAGCACCGGGCGUAACGUGUGGCGCCACUGAGAGUACCCGGAGAAAAAGCAUCGGCUAACUCCGUGCCAGCAGCCGCGGUAAUACGGAGGAAGCGAGCGUUAUCCGGAUUGAUUGGGUUAAAAGGGUGCGUAGGUGGAUCGUUAAGUCAGUGGUCAAAUUGAGGGGCUCAACCCCUUCCCGCCAUUGAAACUGGCGCUCUUGAGUGGAAGAGAAGUAUGCGGAAUGCGUGGUGUAGCGGUGAAAUGCAUAGAUAUCACGCAGAACCCCGAUUGCGAAGGCAGCAUGCCGGCUUCCGACUGACGCUGAAGCACGAAAGCGUGGGGAUCGAACAGGAUUAGAUACCCUUGUAGUC
RNAcentral lists this ribosomal RNA (460 nucleotides) under uncultured bacterium. Its description in RNAcentral is "partial 16S ribosomal RNA". It matches the Rfam family "Bacterial small subunit ribosomal RNA", at positions 338 to 795 of the family's 1533-position model. The record is from RNAcentral.